AGUGAACGCUGGCGGUAGGCCUAACACAUGCAAGUCGAACGGCAGCACAGUAAGAGCUUGCUCUUACGGGUGGCGAGUGGCGGACGGGUGAGGAAUACAUCGGAAUCUACUUUUUCGUGGGGGAUAACGUAGGGAAACUUACGCUAAUACCGCAUACGACCCACGGGUGAAAGCAGGGGAUCUUCGGACCUUGCGCGAUUGAAUGAGCCGAUGUCGGAUUAGCUAGUUGGCGGGGUAAAGGCCCACCAAGGCGACGAUCCGUAGCUGGUCUGAGAGGAUGAUCAGCCACACUGGAACUGAGACACGGUCCAGACUCCUACGGGAGGCAGCAGUGGGGAAUAUUGGACAAAGGGCGCAAGCCUGAUCCAGCCAUACCGCGUGGGUGAAGAAGGCCUUCGGGUUGUAAAGCCCUUUUGUUGGGAAAGAAAAGCAGCAGGUUAAUACCCCGCUGUUCUGACGGUACCCAAAGAAUAAGCACCGGCUAACUUCGUG
Molecule: ribosomal RNA, 492 nt
Filed under: uncultured bacterium
Lineage: Bacteria
Description: partial 16S ribosomal RNA
Rfam family: Bacterial small subunit ribosomal RNA
Source: RNAcentral